ACAGCGCGUUGUUUUGGUUAGUGGCAGGGGAAAGAAUGGUGCUAAAUUAGAGAAGUGAUGUAAUAAUGUUUAGUAUAAGUGGGAAAUGGAGAGGCAAAUAAUUUGGUUUCAAGUAACCCUUAUUGCACACCAGUUCUUCAGAAAUGUGUUAAAACAGGCAGUCUCCACUUCCCCGGCACAAACUCGGAAAAGACCAGUAAGAAUUGAUAAGCAAAUAAAGCCUGAUGAAAUGAAAAGAGCAUUGGUCUGCGAUGCCAAAGACUGGGUACUUCUUCUAGAAAAGCUCCUGACCGUAUAGGUGGCUGAGUUGUUAACCCAGGAGAGAAAACUUAGGUUAAGUGACUUGCCAAGGUUGGACAGCAAAUUAUUGCCAAAGCUGGGACGAGACCCUAUCAGCUUACUUGUAAGUCCAUAUUUUUUUACCUAAUGAUUCAAAGGACGUAAAUAGACCAAUAGGAAAACCAAAUCGACAUAAUAAUGAAUG
Galeopterus variegatus (Sunda flying lemur) is the source of this 484-nucleotide long non-coding RNA. RefSeq lists it as uncharacterized. The transcript has 3 exons. The record is from RefSeq and is a predicted model, not a curated record. Lineage: Eukaryota; Metazoa; Chordata; Mammalia; Dermoptera; Cynocephalidae.